GAUGAACGCUGGCGGUAUGCUUAACACAUGCAAGUCGAACGGACUCUUCGGAGUUAGUGGCGGACGGGUGAGUAACGCGUGAGAAUCUGGCUUUGGGUUCGGGACAACCACUGGAAACGGUGGCUAAUACCGGAUGUGCCGAGAGGUAAAAGAGAAAUUGCCUGAAGAUGAGCUCGCGUCUGAUUAGCUAGUUGGUGAGGUAAAGGCUCACCAAGGCAGCGAUCAGUAGCUGGUCUGAGAGGAUGACCAGCCACACUGGGACUGAGACACGGCCCUGACUCCUACGGGAGGCAGCAGUGGGGAAUUUUCCGCAAUGGGCGAAAGCCUGACGGAGCAAUACCGCGUGAGGGAAGAAGGCUCUUGGGUUGUAAACCUCUUUUCUUAGGGAAGAACAAAAUGACGGUACCUAAGGAAUCAGCAUCGGCUAACUCCGU
Molecule: ribosomal RNA, 434 nt
Filed under: uncultured bacterium
Lineage: Bacteria
Description: partial 16S ribosomal RNA
Rfam family: Bacterial small subunit ribosomal RNA
Source: RNAcentral